This 531-nucleotide long non-coding RNA is filed under the name Daucus carota (carrot). Its description in RNAcentral is "long non-coding RNA (DCAR_LNC001259)". Lineage: Eukaryota; Viridiplantae; Streptophyta; Magnoliopsida; Apiales; Apiaceae. The record is from RNAcentral.
GGGGAUCGACGUCGUACAGGGGAAAGUGAAGCUGAUCGACUUCUUACAGGAGAAGGUGAUCGGCUCUGUACAGGAGAAGGAGACCUACGACGUCGGAUAGGCGAACGAGACCGACGCCGGAUAGGCGAACGAGACCGCCGCCGGAUAGGUGAACGAGACCGACGUCGCAGCGGCGAACGAGACAGACGCCGCAGAGGAGAACGAGAUAGACGCCGGACAGGAGAACGAGACAGACGCCGGACAGGAGAACGACGCCUGACAGGAGAACGAGAACGACGCCGAACAGGAGAACGAGAACGUCGUCGGACAGGAGAACGAGAACGACGCCGGACAGGUGAACGAGAACGACGCCGGACAGGUGAACGAGAACGAUGUCGUAAAGGAGAACGAGAACGACGCCGAAUAGGAGAACGAGAACGACGUCGAAUAGGAGAACGUGAUCUGUAGCGCACUGGUGACCUGCGUCGCAAAGGAGAUCGUGAUCUGCGCCGCACAGGAGAUCGUGAUCUGCGCCGCUGACGUCCUAUAGGU